Molecule: ribosomal RNA, 489 nt
Filed under: Triticum aestivum (bread wheat)
Lineage: Eukaryota; Viridiplantae; Streptophyta; Magnoliopsida; Poales; Poaceae
Description: partial small subunit ribosomal RNA
Source: RNAcentral
AUGAAUUAUGCUUAUGGAGAUGAACUUGCUAUAGUUUCUUAUGUUAAACAUGAAAUUGUUGCUAUUGCACCCACGCAUGAUAGUCCUAUUAUCCUUUUGAAUUCUCCCAACUACACUAUAUCGGAGAAGUUUACCCUUAUUAAGGAUUAUAUUGAUGGGUUGCGUUUUACUAUUACACAUGAUGAUUUUGAUAGAUAUAAUAUGCAUGUGCUUGCUGCCCCUACUUGCAAUUAUUAUGAGCGAGGAACUAUAUCUCCACCUCUCUAUGUUUCCAACAUGGUAAAAUUGCAAGAAACUAUUUACACUAUGCAUUGGCCUUUACUAUGUGUGCAUGAAUUGUUCUUUUAUGACAUGCCGAUGCAUAGGAAGAGAGUUAGACUUCGUCAUUACAUGAUAUACGUUGCUUUGUGCUCACUACUAAAUUACAAAUCAUUGUUAAUUAAAAUUGGCUUUGAUAUACCUUGGGAUCCGGGUGGAUUCAUUACUUGA